This 1017-nucleotide long non-coding RNA is filed under the name Canis lupus familiaris (dog). Its description in RNAcentral is "lncRNA (ENSCAFG00040008466.1)". Lineage: Eukaryota; Metazoa; Chordata; Mammalia; Carnivora; Canidae. The record is from RNAcentral.
AUGCGCGAAGAGCCCUCCUUAUAUUGCAGGAGGCCCGGGCCGGCGGGAGCAGGAAGGUUCCCAGCCACUGGAUCACAGGACGUGGAUGUGAGUCAACUAACCGAGAAGUUCAAUCUGGAAACUCGGGCAUGCGGUGGAAAUGUGGUCUGCCCUGCCUCCUGUGACUGUGACCUUGAGCGGCGACGCCCCUGCCUCAGUUUCCUCAUGCCCUGGCGGGGGUGGGAAGUCUCGACGGGAGACCCUGACCAAGCCCGGGGCGCCCCAGGGCGGGACCUGGAGGCCGAGGGGGCACGCGGCGUUGCGGGGGGCCGCGGAGCGAGACGAGCGGGAAAGGAGGAAAGCAAGGGGCGCCAGGGACAGCGGAGGCGGGGGGGCGAGCGAGGAGCGCUGGGCAGCGACGCGCGGGGCGACAGGACGGGGCUGAAGACCCCGAGCGGCGGGCGGUCACUCACCGAGCGGCGGCGGCGGCGACGGCGCUCCGGGCGGCCCCGGCCAUCCAGCAGCGGCGCCGCGCCCCGCCCCGGGUCUGCCCCGCCCGCCGGGGCCUCCGGCCCCCAGCCCGGAGCCGCCCCCGCCGCGCGGCCACGUCACACGGGACCUGUCCGGAACCCGACGCGCCGCGCGCCGCGGGGUCGGGGGGGAGCGGCGGUCGCGGGGCGCUUCCGUCUCGCGGCCGUGGGGGACCCGGGAGGCCGGCGCACUUCCGCCCGGACGGACACUGGAGGGGGGCGGCGGGGAGGGCCGGGCGGAAGUGGGAGCCCCAGGGGCCCGGCGCUCAGCCCCGCUGCGCAGGGCGGGGGCGGGGGCGGCGGCCCCGCAGGGACCGCGAGCGGCGGGGUGGCUGGGCUUGCGGGUCCGGCCGCCGCUUCCUUUCCCGGGGCCGCAGUCCCGCCCGCGGCCGCGCGGGGGCGCGCUCGGCUGCCAGGCGGCCCGCGCUGCCGGGAGCCGGGCCCGGCCGGGUGGGUUCCUGGCUCGGCUGCUCCUGCUCUGAGUCAAACGGGCCUGGCUCCUCCAUGA